AUCACUCUCGCUCUCUCUUUCUCUCUCAUCAUCUCUCUCUUUCUCUCUCGCCUGCUCUCUUUUCCUCUCUAUCGAUUCUUGGCCGAAAUCACAGAAGUUAAUUGAGAAAAAGUCGAAUUCAUGAACGAGGUUUGGUGGAGUGGGGUAUAGGAAAGGAAUUUGAGGUUUUAAUCGGGAAAUCCCAAUUCGAAUUAUUGGCAGAAUUAGGGCUGCGUGAAGAAGGCUUUAUCAAGGGGCUACAACGAUCAGGUCGCCUCCAGUGGUGGUCGCAUCAGUUGGUUGCCGGAAUUGGGCAAGAAGUUCAGCCCGCUCGCCGGAGCCUUGAAGGAAAUAGUAUUUGCUGCCGCACCUGUUUUCGAAGCCAAAAUCGAAGGGUUUGGAGUGAGAAUUUGGGAAUCAUUCCUUGACGAAACUCGUAGAGGACCUCGAAAACUAUUGGUAAGUGUAAAAUUGUAUAGAGUUAGAAUAUGUUUUGAAGCUGAUUAGAGGUCCGAAUUAAGUGACGGUAAAUCUGUUAAAACAGGGCAGUUUUGAGUAUUCGUUUUACGGGGCUGUUUAUGUUAUGUUGAGCUAAUAAUUUAGGCUAUGUGUCUUCUAAGAACUUGUAGAUUACAUUUUGAGGUUCAAUUUGGUGUAUUGUUUGGCCAAAUUGGAUAACUUUACAAAUUGUUAUGAUUUUUCAAAUAAGCUGUACCAGAAAUAAUCUUUCCAAAAUCCCGGCAGUUCUGUAAUGCUGGUUUGAGGCUGUUUCUGCUAUUUUCGGUUCCGAAUUUGGGACUAAAGCCUUCUGUGAACUCGUAGGAUUUUCUGUUAGCUUUCAUUUGACGUAUCAUGUGAUCAAUUUGGAUGAGCGUGUUAAUUGUUAUGAUUUUUCAAACAAACUGUGCCAACAACGAAUUUUCCAAAAACCUGGCAGUUUCAUGUACUCAUCUUCCGGGGCUGUUAUUGCUGUGUUAGGUCGAUAAUUUGGGCUCAGGGUCUUCAGUAAAACUUUAGACACACAUGUUAGCUUUAAUUCGAUAAAUCGUUUAGGUUAUUCGGAUAAGUAAGGUGAUCGUAACGAUUGUUCGAAUAAGCUGUGGCAGCAAGACAUUCUUAAUAAAUGUUUCAAGAAAUUGAGUAUGUGGUAUAGUGGAAUAAUACGGUUAUAUUAGCAUUUAGAAUGUUGUUAAGUGAUGAAUAUUUUUAUAGGUAUCGAGCGUUCUAAGGUUCUCAUUCAAGAGCAUGACUCGAGAGUAAGGUGUUUUUUAUAACACUUGCAUUGGACUUCAGUGUCAGGUGCAUUAGUGGACGAUUGUGUUGAAGGCUCUUAGGAGUAAAAGUUAUUCAAAGAUUUUAGAGAGUUUAAUCUAGUGUUGUGUUUAAGAAUGAUUGUAAUUCGAGAACUAUGAAUACGAGAUUAGUUGUGGCAUUUGGUUGUUACGUGUAUUUGAUAUUAGUGUUGAGAAAUUAAGUAGGAGACAUUGUAUUUAUCAGAAGUCAUAGUAUUUAUUUAUUGUAAUGGAAAAAAAAAAAAGUACAGUGUAUUUCGAUAGUGGGCGUCACAGCAAAUGUGGGUAAAAUUAUUGCGGUACAUUUGAAAACCUUUGAAAAAUAAAUUUUCGAUGCAA
Erythranthe guttata (spotted monkey flower) is the source of this 1610-nucleotide non-coding RNA. The record is from RefSeq and is a predicted model, not a curated record. Lineage: Eukaryota; Viridiplantae; Streptophyta; Magnoliopsida; Lamiales; Phrymaceae.